Molecule: ribosomal RNA, 375 nt
Filed under: uncultured Serratia sp.
Lineage: Bacteria; Pseudomonadati; Pseudomonadota; Gammaproteobacteria; Enterobacterales; Yersiniaceae
Description: bacterial SSU rRNA
Rfam family: Bacterial small subunit ribosomal RNA
Source: RNAcentral
UAAUACGGAGGGUGCAAGCGUUAAUCGGAAUUACUGGGCGUAAAGCGCACGCAGGCGGUUUGUUAAGUCAGAUGUGAAAUCCCCGGGCUCAACCUGGGAACUGCAUUUGGAACUGGCAAGCUAGAGUCUCGUAGAGGGGGGUAGAAUUCCAGGUGUAGCGGUGAAAUGCGUAGAGAUCUGGAGGAAUACCGGUGGCGAAGGCGGCCCCCUGGACGAAGACUGACGCUCAGGUGCGAAAGCGUGGGGAGCAAACAGGAUUAGAUACCCUGGUAGUCCACGCCGUAAACGAUGUCGAUUUGGAGGUUGUGCCCUUGAGGCGUGGCUUCCGGAGCUAACGCGUUAAAUCGACCGCCUGGGGAGUACGGCCGCAAGGUU